This is a non-coding RNA of Galeopterus variegatus (Sunda flying lemur), 74 nucleotides long. Lineage: Eukaryota; Metazoa; Chordata; Mammalia; Dermoptera; Cynocephalidae. The record is from the annotation of a RefSeq genome assembly.
GGCCAGUUAGCUCAGUUGGUUAGAGUGUGGCACUGAUAACACCAGGGUCCAAGGUUCAAUCCCUGUACUGGCCA